UACGGAGGAUCCAAGCGUUAUCCGGAUUCAUUGGGUUUAAAGGGUGCGUAGGCGGACUAGUAAGUCAGUGGUGAAAGCCUGUUGCUUAACAACAGAACUGCCAUUGAUACUGCUAAUCUUGAGUACAUUUGAUGUGGGCGGAAUGUGUCGUGUAGCGGUGAAAUGCUUAGAUAUGACACAGAACACCGAUUGCGAAGGCAGCUCACAAAACUGUUACUGACGCUGAGGCACGAAAGCGUGGGGAUCGAACAGG
Molecule: ribosomal RNA, 253 nt
Filed under: uncultured bacterium
Lineage: Bacteria
Description: partial 16S ribosomal RNA
Rfam family: Bacterial small subunit ribosomal RNA
Source: RNAcentral